This 399-nucleotide ribosomal RNA is filed under the name Cyphotilapia gibberosa. RNAcentral's name for it is "partial 16S ribosomal RNA". It matches the Rfam family "Bacterial large subunit ribosomal RNA", at positions 1923 to 2471 of the family's 2925-position model. The record is from RNAcentral. Lineage: Eukaryota; Metazoa; Chordata; Actinopteri; Cichliformes; Cichlidae.
UUUAACGGCCGCGGUAUUUUGACCGUGCAAAGGUAGCGCAAUCACUUGUCUUUUAAAUGAAGACCUGUAUGAAUGGCAUAACGAGGGCUUAACUGUCUCCUUUUUCCAGUCAAUGAAAUUGAUCUCCCCGUGCAGAAGCGAGGAUAUUAACAUAAGACGAGAAGACCCUAUGGAGCUUUAGACGCCAGAACAGACCAUGUUAAACACCCCUUAAAUGAAGGACAAAACUAAUUGGCCCCUGCUCUAAUGUCUUUGGUUGGGGCGACCGCGGGGAAACAAAAAACCCCCAUGUGGACCGGGAGCACACUACUCCCACAACCCAGAGCCACAACUCCAAGUAACAGAACUUCUGACCAAUAAGAUCCGGCACAUAGCCGAUCAACGGACCGAGUACCCUAG